UCCCGCUUAGCUCAGUGGUAGAGCGCAUCACUAGUAUUGCGUAAGCAUGACGUAAUGAUGAGGUCAAUAGUUCAAGUCUGUUAGUGGGAA
This is a non-coding RNA of Ceratobasidium sp. AG-I, 90 nucleotides long. NCBI's taxonomy places the organism in Eukaryota, Fungi, Basidiomycota, Agaricomycetes, Cantharellales, Ceratobasidiaceae. The record is from the annotation of a GenBank genome assembly.